CGAACGCUGGCGGCAGGCCUAACACAUGCAAGUCGAGCGCAGUCCUUCGGGACCGAGCGGCGGACGGGUUAGUAACGCGUGGGAACAUACCCUUUUCUACGGAAUAGCCUCGGGAAACUGAGAGUAAUACCGUAUAAGCCCUUCGGGGGAAAGAUUUAUCGGGAAAGGAUUGGCCCGCGUUAGAUUAGAUAGUUGGUGGGGUAAUGGCCUACCAAGUCUACGAUCUAUAGCUGGUUUUAGAGGAUGAUCAGCAACACUGGGACUGAGACACGGCCCAGACUCCUACGGGAGGCAGCAGUGGGGAAUCUUAGACAAUGGGCGCAAGCCUGAUCUAGCCAUGCCGCGUGUGUGAUGAAGGUCUUAGGAUCGUAAAGCACUUUCGCCAGGGAUGAUAAUGACAGUACCUGGUAAAGAAACCCCGGCUAACUCCGUGCCAGCAGCCGCGGUAAUACGGAGGGGGUUAGCGUUGUUCGGAAUUACUGGGCGUAAAGCGUACGUAGGCGGAUCAGAAAGUAGGGGGUGAAAUCCCAGGGCUCAACCCUGGAACUGCCUCCUAAACUCCUGGUCUUGAGUUCGAGAGAGGUGAGUGGAAUUCCAAGUGUAGAGGUGAAAUUCGUAGAUAUUUGGAGGAACACCAGUGGCGAAGGCGGCUCACUGGCUCGAUACUGACGCUGAGGUACGAAAGUGUGGGGAGCAAACAGGAUUAGAUACCCUGGUAGUCCACACCGUAAACGAUGAAUGCCAGUCGUCGGGCAGUAUACUGUUCGGUGACACACCUAACGGAUUAAGCAUCC
Molecule: ribosomal RNA, 794 nt
Filed under: uncultured Sulfitobacter sp.
Lineage: Bacteria; Pseudomonadati; Pseudomonadota; Alphaproteobacteria; Rhodobacterales; Roseobacteraceae
Description: bacterial SSU rRNA
Rfam family: Bacterial small subunit ribosomal RNA
Source: RNAcentral